Molecule: unclassified non-coding RNA, 3823 nt
Filed under: Hevea brasiliensis (rubber tree)
Lineage: Eukaryota; Viridiplantae; Streptophyta; Magnoliopsida; Malpighiales; Euphorbiaceae
Source: RNAcentral
CAGAAAUUCAAUUUAUUUAAUACUAUUGAAAGCUCCAAAUACUACUAUUUUAAUUAUUUUUCUGAGUGUUUUAUGCACAUAAUUAAUUAACACUCAUUACCUAGCAAUAAUACAUCAAUUUGAUGCAAUAAAAUGAGAGUCGCGAAUGAGCAUCCCCUAAAUUCUGAGCGUCCAGAGCUGGUCAUCGUCUCACGAAGAAAACAAGAAUAGCUCAACAUUCUUUCUGGACAAGUUUAUCCUUGUUCAUUGCGAGAAAAUAUCAUUAUCAAAUUUUCCUUAGGUUUGAAGCAACAGGAAGACACGUAGCUAAAUACACUGUCAAAAAAGAGCCAGCAGUCCUUUAAUCUUCUUCCACCAGAAUUUUUUAUGCUUUCUAAAUCAGUUCUCUCAGAUUCUGAAAGAGAAAGCACAAAGCCAAAUUCUAGUAAAGGUGCAGUCAGAAGCACGUUAUGCUUCUCCCUAUGGAAUCAGAAUUUCUAAAAGUCUCCAUGUUUGAAUCCCUUAUUAUUACUCUGUAUCUAAGACUUCAAGCAGCACAAGUCGGUCACCUACACAACCAAACUCCAAGGCCUUCCCAGGUAAGCCACGUAUAGGCAUAGCAAGUAUCCAAGGGUCCAGGCUUGAACACCUUCAGCUUUUUACCAAAGAACCCGGUUAGGAGGUCAGGAAUAGUUGGUCACCCACAUAAUCCAAUUCUCAUUUGUCAGCUCUGGCCUCAAAUUCCUAUAAAAGCCAGACUUCUUUCUCCCAAUUCCAUCAAACUUAAGUAGUUGCAGGAUAUAUUCACAUUCUACAGGCAUUUCCAGAGACCCAAUGGCACACACACAAAUGGCAACGAGUUUGGCUUUGAUCCUAGUGAGCGUGCUAUGGGCAGGAGCUAUGGCACAGUCUAGUUGUACAAAUGUCUUAAUAAGCAUGUCACCAUGCCUGAAUUACAUCACAGGGAACAGCUCAACUCCAUCUUCACAGUGCUGCACACAGCUUUCCAGUGUCGUUCGCUCUUCACCCCAGUGCUUGUGUGAGGUUCUAAAUGGUGGUGGCUCAUCACUUGGGAUCAACAUCAACCAGACCCAGGCCCUUGCUUUACCUGGUGCUUGCAAUGUUCAGACUCCACCCACCAGCCGCUGCAACGGUAAGUAAUUCUCUCAUCAAUAUCAGCUUCCUAUGAAUUCAAACCUUCAUGCCAAAAGUCAAAACUGGUUCCAAGAUUCCGCAGGUGGAUUUCUUAAUGUGAAUUGAGUUUGGAUCAGGGAAGGUUAAAAAUGAAAUUAAGAAGUAAAAUCCCCAUUAACUGGGAAAAGAUCAUUGAACAUUCAAAAUUUCACUACGACUUAAUUCUAAUUGUACUACCUGUAUGUAAACAGCCGCUUCUCCAGCCGCCUCUCCAGCAGGAACACCAGAAGUUCCAAGUACACCUUCAGGUACUGCAUGCUUUCAUAAACUGCAAAUUACAAAUUGCAUGUAGAAUUACAGUAACAGAUUAGUCGUACUCUUUACACAACUAUUGACUAUGAAAACAUCAGAUCUAGCUCACCAAUAAGGUUUUCAAUGCUUCUUUGCCAGUAAGCCAUUGAACGUUUUGCACAAAUUCUUCAUUCUCUUCUCUGGUUUAACUUGUUUGACUUCUUGUAGGAACUGGAUCUAAAACUGUACCAUCAAGAGAAGUAGAUGGAACAUCAAAUGGGAGCUCCACCAAGUUGUCAAUCUCAUUGCUCGCAUUCCUUCUCUUUGCAGCUUCAUAUGUUUCAACCUUCACAACAUACUGAUUUUCUGAUCAGCAAGUCCACCCUUCACUAUUUCCCAAUCUUGCAUAUUCCCAGCUAUUACUGUUUUUAUAAUUUAUUAUUGAUUUCUCUUUGGUUGAUGGUGUAUGUAUUAUUUACUUUUCUUGACCUCAUUUGAGGUUGUAUUACUGGAGAUAUCUACCUCUCUUCCCUUCACAAUAAAAACAUCAUUUCAUGCCUAAGCAUAUCAUUGCCAAAUUCUUAGGAAAUAUCAAGGCAUAAUAUACUACAGAAUAAAGAUGAGCAUGUAAAUGGCCAAAAAUAACAAGCAAAAAUUGCCUAGAAGUUCAUCAAAGCCAUUAAGUUGGCAAACCUUCUACGUACUGAGGUUUAUGCUACUAAUAAAGCAAAAUUUGUUCAUAAUUCAAUACAUUCUCCAUCUUCUGCCAUAAACUUAGAUCAUUAAGCACAGAAAAAUGGAAGGAAGAAAAGCAUUGUCAAAACAGACCUUACACUGAAAAUUUUGUAGUCCAAACACAUGUCACUUCUGCAGAAAACUAAGUAUCGGCUGCAACAAGCCAUUGGCAUUUAAUUGACCAAAAGACAAGCACUCAGUGGCCUGACCAUAGACAUCUCCAUAUAUACAGAACAAGGCAUCCCCAACACUCCACAACGUCGAACGACAUUGUGCAACUCAUAAUUGUCACGAUACAGUUCCAUUUUCAAAUUCAUGAAUGUGAUCGUGAGCGCACAAACUCUUCAAGUCUGUCCCAUACUUCCAAUGCUGCUGCCCUAUCCUGGUGUCUCUUGUUCUUGCUAAUCGAGAUGAUCUUUACAUUCCAUUGCUUCACAGUCUUUGCUGAUUCUACACUGUCAUCUUCAAACCUCAUGAAAAAUCCAAUGAUUUUAUUAAAUAUCUCCACGUGAUCCUUAAACGGCCAAUCCUUGAAUUGCCACUCUUUUCCCAACACGAAAACAGCCACAACCCGGUCCCAAUCCUCAGCCUUGAGCGCAGACGGCUUGUCCCUGACCUCAUAUGCAGUCAUCACCCUAUUCCUAUCAGUACUAAAUUUCUUCUGUACUGUGACACAGUCUGGCUUCGCCCCUUUCAUUUGCUUCACCUUCACAUCCGUAGGUAUAUAAAUUCCAUCCUCCAAAAACUCCUUCACAUUAUAAAUAGUAAUCAAAGUCUGGAACGCACUGGGAACUAAAAUUAUGGGCACUCCUUCCCCAAAUUUGCCUCCUUUCAAAUGCAUUUUGGGCUUGGGUGUCGCAUCAUAACCCAGCUCAUCACCAUAUCCAAUUCCUCUCUCGUCAGCCCCCAUCAAUCUACUCUUAGCCACCAACCCAUCCUUCCUCUGCUGGGAUUCGAUUCUCUGCCUCUCCUCUUCACGCCGAGUAGAGGCCACCAGCACACUAUAAAAAUCUCUGUUCUUGCACUCCAACAACGACUCCCUAUCCUUGAGAGGCCUCUCCAUGGAGUAUAUCAUAGUAAUGGGAUCCUCCUCUUUACCAUUAUCAGCUCCCGCCACAUCAGCAUCAUGAGAAUCGAGGAAAGCGGGGUCGUCGGGUCGGUACUCGUUGGCGAGAUCAGCAUUAGGGUUUUGCUGAUGCUGUUGUUGCUGCUGGGGAAGAGGGUAAACGAUGGAGUCGGUGGAGGAGAGCUUUCCGGUGAGGUAAUCGAAAAGGGGCUUGCGGUCGAUAAAGGUUAUGGGGGUGAGGCCAACGGCACGAGCAUUCUGGAGGUAAUCAGUGAACUUGAGAUUGGCGUUCUGGAUGUAGUAAACCAGAGUUUCGAGGGUGUAGAGAUUGCCGUGCUUAGAGCGAUAAGCAGUCUUUAUAGAGCAAGGGAAGGUGUAAUCGGUUCCGAAACGGAACUCCUCGUUAACUCGGACGAUCUUGUCCACUUCGCCGCGAAUGGUGAAGUCGCGGAGAGCCGAAAGAGGAUCCAUUUAGGAGAAAUUUGGAACCUUGGAGGUUUGGACUAUGGACGGAAACUGAGAAAAAAGGCGCAACGAUAUGAAGUGAUAAAGGUUGAUGACAACGAAGAUUGGGAUUUUGCUGCAGAAGAUUAUGUGAGUAGCCAACAUACUGUUCUG